Molecule: non-coding RNA, 2929 nt
Organism: Punica granatum (pomegranate)
Lineage: Eukaryota; Viridiplantae; Streptophyta; Magnoliopsida; Myrtales; Lythraceae
Source: RefSeq, a predicted model, not a curated record
UGGAAGUGAAUGGAACGGAAUGCUUGGAGUGGCUGAUAUAUGACUUUCUCCGUUCAUGUACAGAUGAACCUCUCCAUGCUAUGCCGAUAGUUUAACCCAUCGAUUAUUGGUUACUAUUGUGGUCUCAGGCGUGACCCCCGGCAGAGAAGCUCUUGGAGUUGUCCAAUGGAAAGUGGGGCGUAUCCGUCGACCCUGUUUUUCAGGAGCUACUGUUCUGAAGGUUCCUAUACUGUCAAAACUUUCAGGUUUAUCAUUUGCCCAAAGAUUUGCAGUUCCUGGUUGAAGAAUUACGCCAUCUAGCAGCUUGUUUUCAGUUCGUGAUGUCAAGAAAUAAAGUUCGUGAAGUCAAAUCACAUGGCAUCAAGGUCCUCGUGUAACCUUCAUUGAUCAAACUUUCUUCCCGUGUUAUGUACAGUCUUCGAACUCCCAAAUGACGCGGUCUUGCAUGAUGUUCAAAGUCUCAUUCAGUCAGUACCGGCUUCUGUUCUAUGGCAUUAUACAUCAAUCUGUAUAUGUAGUUUUGCUCAUCUAUGAAAAGAUUUUGUGCACCUUGAUGGGACUGGGGCAAGCUGAGAACCCUUCUUCACUUAUUUCUAUCCUAGAAGGCCCAGUUUAUUACUACGGACCCUAAGGAAUAUAGUUGGGGAUCUGGGCAAAAAGGGGAGGUGGCGGUGUGCAUCUAUUUAUAUGUUGAUGAUUGCGAGUAUCACUCGUCCAGUUUGGAAGUGUAACGCCCAAACCAUAAUUGUUGUGAGUGGAAAACUGAGCUAGGCCUAAUAGCAUGGUAGGUCACACAAAUUCUCACUUAAGAGCAAUUCUGGGUGGUGUUACUCUUCCAUAGAGGAUCGUGUACCGAUAAAUAAACUAGACCUUCUUGACUCUAUACACAGAGUCUUGCAAGAUCAGGCCUACCUCUCAAGGAUCUUCUGCUAUUAGUACAAUUUUAUGUUUUAGAAUGCAGAUUCUGAGGCAAUCCUAAGUGUUGAGUACCGUUAAAAAUCCAAUCGUGGAAAAACAAAAUCGGAAACCAUGUACUACUUUUAAGACGAUUGAGAGUCAAGCCAACAGUUUUGAUCUAAUAUGCCAUGUCAAAGCUUAUUGGUGAAUGUGCAGUUAUCAAAGAUGUUUGGUUCAAUCUGGGCUCGUGAUUUAAUCAAGUGAAUAUCCAAUACAUCUGCAGGGCUGAUAGACAUGCUUAACAAUGUAUAUCAUUUAAAUGAUUCAUGAUUUGUUUACCUUCUUUUAUUAGGUUUAAAGCCGAAACGAGACAGGAAGCCAUGUCACUAAUAAGUCCAUCAACCCGUGUCCUCAAUGAGAUAUCAAAGUUUAGAUUGAUUACAAAUGAAUUUUACUUCCUCCUUUGUCUUGCAAAGAUGCCACUGUCUAUGCAUAUCGGAAGUGCAUCAACGGUAGGCUGUAACAGGGGAAGUGAAGUAAUGGUUGCUGCCGGCCUUCCUAGCACCAGUACGAUCCUUGGCCAAGGAAGACCUAAUACGGUAUCUUGCCUCGGGAUGCAAGCCAAAAGAAAAAUGGAGGUGUACAACACCUCACAGAUGACCAUUGCAUCAUGUUCAUUUGGCAGAAUAGGAACAGAGCAUGAGAAUUGAGAAGUCCAGUUUUGAGAUCGAUACUUUAUGUCCUAUCAAAUACGAUCAGAUAGCUGAGUUGCACAAUGGUACAGCCAAGAGCUAAGAUUGGGAAAAGGUAAAGGAGAUUGCAGAUCAGCCAAAAUGGGGUGUGAAGAUAUAGCACUAAUAGGUAGGAAUGGAACUUACUCUAUUGUUCAUAAUGAUACAAUAUAGAAUUGAGUAUAUGGGUUAAUAAAUUACAUACAGGAAAUCCGUCAAGUCCAUGCUCGACAAGAGGAAAAAGUAGCUUGAGAUGAAUUAUGCACAAGCCACAUACGAAAACAGGUUUCAUCUUUUUGGAUGACAUAUUUAAUUCCUACUCCGGUGUUAGCAUUUGCUUCUCAUAGUACGUAGUAGAUCGGAGCAUAUGACAAAGCAUUCGGCACACAGGGGAGAUACGAGAGCAUAUGGACUUACAUGCCUAAAGUUGGUUCGGUUCUUGCGGACUGGAUAUGAUAUUCUGGACGUCCCAAUGUUCUUUGUGUAUCGGAAGAAGUGUAUAGACUGUGCUCGGAUGUCAUUCCGGAUUUUCACCUAUCCUUUAUCAUUUAUAAAUUCAAUCGUUCUUCUUAUAUUGUCCCUCACUAGUUUAUGCUGUCAUGUGUUACUCUAUCAUCAAUCAUCUGUCUUCUGAUUAUAAUUGUUCUGUGUUUCGGGAUUUCAUGACCGGGAAACCUCCCAUCAUUCCAGGUGAAUUGCCGACCCUCAGCAAUUGGGGGAAUGAUUUGAGAACAAUAUUUCCUCAGGUAAUACUAAAGACGUACUUGGAGAUGAGAGGUGCUGAUGCAGUGCCUUGGAAGAGGUUAUAUGCUCUGCCAGCGUUUUGGGUAAGAACUCUGUCUUUGUCUAUGUCGGCAAACAUCUCGGUGCCAUCUAGUUGUAAGCAGAUAUGGUCGACAAUGAUGAAGCUUUAAGGUGGCAAGCCAAACUCAUUUUCUCACCUCUGGUAGGCCUCCUGUACGAUGAAAUCGAACUCCUUGGAUCAGGUUCAUAUAAUUCAAAAUGAAUGCAAUAGUCACCAAAGACUAGUUUGAAGACACCAUUUCAGGAUUCUUCACUUAGUGAUGGUCAUGAAAUAAAGUUUACGAUGUCAAAAUCCCCAGCAUGGAGAUCUCCGUGUCACCUCCAUCGAUCAAACUUCCUUCUGAUGUUAUAUUACAAUUUGCUGAAACUCGCUACUGAUUCCAUCUCUUGUAUGAGAAAGUGCAGCGAUCGUCUUAGCUCUAAGUUAUAUACAAUCUAUCUUAUGUCCAAAGUCACAUUCGGAUUUUACCGGCUUUUAUUCUAUGGUAUUCAGAAUC